Molecule: ribosomal RNA, 189 nt
Filed under: Tuerkayogebia kiiensis
Lineage: Eukaryota; Metazoa; Arthropoda; Malacostraca; Decapoda; Upogebiidae
Description: partial 16S rRNA
Source: RNAcentral
UUUAUAACUUUCUUAUUUUAUUAAGGAGGGUUGAGAAAAUUAGUGGAAAUUAAUUUAUUAGGGGAGUUAUUAUGUUGGGGCGACAAAAGUAGAAUUGGAUAUCUGCUUUAUUUUUGUAACAAAAAUUUUUGGAUGGUUAAUUGAUCCUAAGUAUAGAUUGUAAGUUUAAGUUACUUUAAGGAUAACAGC